This 463-nucleotide ribosomal RNA is filed under the name uncultured bacterium. Its description in RNAcentral is "partial 16S ribosomal RNA". It matches the Rfam family "Bacterial small subunit ribosomal RNA", at positions 29 to 507 of the family's 1533-position model. The record is from RNAcentral.
ACGAACGCUGGCGGCGUGCUUAACACAUGCCAGUCGAACGGAAAGGCCCUGCUUGCAGGGUACUCGAGUGGCGAACGGGUGAGUAACACGUGGGUGAUCUGCCCUGCACUUCGGGAUAAGCCUGGGAAACUGGGUCUAAUACCGGAUAGGAGCCAUUUUUAGUGUGAUGGUUGGAAAGUUUUUUCGGUGUAGGAUGAGCUCGCGGCCUAUCAGCUUGUUGGUGGGGUAAUGGCCUACCAAGGCGGCGACGGGUAGCCGGCCUGAGAGGGUGGACGGCCACAUUGGGACUGAGAUACGGCCCAGACUCCUACGGGAGGCAGCAGUGGGGAAUAUUGCACAAUGGGCGCAAGCCUGAUGCAGCGACGCCGCGUGGGGGAUGACGGCCUUCGGUUGUAAACGCCUUUCGCUAGGGACGAAGCUUUUUGUGACGGUACCUAGAUAAGAAGCACCGGCUAACUACGUG